GAACAUGAGGAUGUGAACCUGAGUAAGACGGAUCUCUACCCAAAGGAGCAUGGUCUAAUAAACAGAGAAGGCUCAGGAGGGUCAGAAACACGGUGCCUCAUUUCUCAGCCUACUUGCCAAGAAUUCCCAAAAAGGAAGCACUGGAGGAUCAUUCCAAGGCUUGAGGUCCAGGACUACCCACUUCCCUUGGAAUGGUGUUGCCAUCACUGUUCUGGCACCGGAGAAAGGAUUCUACAUCGUUAGGAGAAAAGAAAAAGGAGAAUUUGGGCUUGCACUGAGAGGAUUACCUUUGGUGGUCUGGAAGUGGUGGCUGCACAGGGAGCAUGGCUGGGAGGCCUCAGGAAACUGACAAUCAUCAGUAGAAGAUGAAGAGGAAGGAGGCGCAUCUUACAUGGCCAGAGAAGGAGGAAGAAUAAGAAGGGAUUCUCCAGCUGGAGCCCUAUAAAUUGGACUGACAAAAGACAGAUUAGCAAGAGAAAUGCAAGCAGCAGUUUAUUAACAUGUGCAUCAUGAUUACACAUGGAAGUACCCAGAGGUCAUAAGACCUCAUGUGACAAGUGCCCUCCUUACUCCCAGAGAAAAGGAAGGAAGACACAGAAACACCACGAAGAAUAUGGACAAACAGACCUUGCUAAGUUCCCCCCCAUUUAUUACCAUGACAUCAUACUCCCU
This 672-nucleotide long non-coding RNA is filed under the name Homo sapiens (human). Its description in RNAcentral is "non-protein coding lnc-DTNBP1-16:25". The record is from RNAcentral. Lineage: Eukaryota; Metazoa; Chordata; Mammalia; Primates; Hominidae.